GCGAACUGGUGAGUAACACGUGGGAAACCUGCCCAGAAGCGGGGGAUAACACCUGGAAACAGAUGCUAAUACCGCAUAACAACUUGGACCGCAUGGUCCGAGUUUGAAAGAUGGCUUCGGCUAUCACUUUUGCGAUGGUCCCGCGGCGUAUUAGCUAGAUGGUGGGGUAACGGCUCACCAUGGCAAUGAUACGUAGCCGACCUGAGAGGGUAAUCGGCCACAUUGGGACUGAGACACGGCCCAAACUCCUACGGCAGGCAGCAGUAGGGAAUCUUCCACAAUGGACGAAAGUCUGAUGGAGCAACGCCGCGUGAGUGAAGAAGGGUUUCGGCUCGUAAAACUCUGUUGUUAAAGAAGAACAUAUCUGAGAGUAACUGUUCAGGUAUUGACGUUAUUUAACCAGAAAGCCACGGCUAACUACGUGCCAGCAGCCGCGGUAAUACAUAGGUGGCAAGCGUUGUCCGGAUUUAUUGGGCGUAAAGCGAGCGCAGGCGGUUUUUUAAGUCUGAUGUGAAAGCCUUCGGCUCAACCGAAGAAGUGCAUAGGAAACUGGGAAACUUGAGUGCAGAAGAGGACAGUGGAACUCCAUGUGUAGCGGUGAAAUGCGUAGAUAUAUGGAAGAACACCAGUGGCGAAGGCGGCUGUCUGGUCUGUAACUGACGCUGAGGCUCGAAAGUAUGGGUAGCAAACAGGAUUAGAUACCCUGGUAGUCCAUACCGUAAACGAUGAAUGCUAAGUGUUGGAGGGUUUCCGCCCUUCAGUGCUGCAGCUAACGCAUUAAGCAUUCCGCCUGGGGAGUACGGCCGCAAG
Molecule: ribosomal RNA, 810 nt
Filed under: Lactiplantibacillus plantarum
Lineage: Bacteria; Bacillati; Bacillota; Bacilli; Lactobacillales; Lactobacillaceae
Description: bacterial SSU rRNA
Rfam family: Bacterial small subunit ribosomal RNA
Source: RNAcentral